RNAcentral lists this ribosomal RNA (516 nucleotides) under uncultured bacterium. RNAcentral's name for it is "bacterial SSU rRNA". It matches the Rfam family "Bacterial small subunit ribosomal RNA", at positions 28 to 541 of the family's 1533-position model. The record is from RNAcentral.
GACGAACGCUGGCGGCGUGCCUAACACAUGCAAGUCGAGCGGAGUCGAUCGACGGAAGCCUUCGGGCGGAAGAUGGUUGACUUAGCGGCGGAUGGGUGAGUAACGCGUGGGCAACCUGCCUCGAAGACCGGGAUAACAGCCCGAAAGGGCUGCUAAUACCGGAUGUGGUCAAGGAUCCGCAUGGAUUUUUGAUUAAAGGGGAAACCCGUUUCGAGAUGGGCCCGCGUCCUAUCAGCUAGUUGGUGAGGUAAAAGCUCACCAAGGCGACGACGGGUAGCCGGCCUGAGAGGGUGACCGGCCACACUGGAACUGAGACACGGUCCAGACUCCUACGGGGGCAGCAGUGGGGAAUCUUCCACAAUGGGCGAAAGCCUGAUGGAGCGACGCCGCGUGAGCGAAGAAGGCCUUCGGUUGUAAGCUCUGUCUGGAGGGACGAAGGAAGUGACGGUACCUCCGGAGGAAGCCACGGCGUAACUACGUGCCAGCAGCCGCGGUAAAGUACGUACUACUACUCGU